This is a long non-coding RNA of Cygnus olor (mute swan), 1139 nucleotides long. RefSeq lists it as uncharacterized. The transcript is spliced from 3 exons. Lineage: Eukaryota; Metazoa; Chordata; Aves; Anseriformes; Anatidae. The record is from RefSeq and is a predicted model, not a curated record.
UGUCACAACAUGCUCCAGCCAAGGAUAAAUGAAGUUUUGAAACAGGCCAGGCUUCCUUCCUCAGAGUUUGCACGCAGCUAAUCUGAGGAAACGGAAAGGUUUCCACCAAAGUGAUGAGUUUUACCAAGCUCUGGCUGAUCUGACUUUUAGAAGUUUUAGGUGGAUGGUAUAGCUAGCAACGGGGUGUCUAAAGCAGCCUUUAACAUGGCCACUAAGAAUCUCAGCAGUGGACUUGGACAAGAAGAAUCUAACGUGACAGACAUCUCCCUGCUCCUGAAGGUGGUUGAGGAGGAAUGCCAGAGGUGUGCUGUUUCCCUUCUGCAGUUAUCCCCGUCUGUGGACUAGUUUGGAAAAGGGAAACUAAUGUUUGGAAGAGGGAAACUGUGUCCUUUAUGUCCUUGGAGAACUAAUCCAGCUCUUUCUGGAUUGAAGGUGUGUCUGGCCAGAACAGUUCAGAGAGAAGCCUUUUUUCUUCUCCUGCGUACCCGCAUAGGUCUGGUCCCCUGUUUUAACUUGAUCCAUAAUCUUUAACAUCCAUGGGAAUUUCAUGUCAGCAUUUAAGCCCUGGGAAUACAGAACAAUGCAAGUGGAAAAUCUCAGUGCGGCUGAAUUUUGACAGGAGAACCAGGUAAUUUUUAUAUCUGGUAGUGCUGGAUGAGCAAGAGUUUUUCGUAAUUGUCAGUUGUAAUUGUCAACUAUUCUGUUGUAUUUCAAAGUGCUUGUUUUGAAACUGUCCCUUCUUUACCAAUGGCAUUUUGAUGGAUGGAUGAUAUGAAAACACUGGGUUGAAAGAAACACCAUAAAUAUAUUCAGCCAAGCAAAACCAAUACGUGUAUUUACAGGAGGAUAAUUGUCUGUGGGGUAGCAGUCAUGGAGCAAAGGCCAUUGUUUUCUCUACUGAAUGCUCUGCCACUUGUCGCAAUCAUUUUUACGAUGAUGAACACUAUUUCUCAAUCAGUGGGUUGUGAAGUUGCAUGUUUUCCAAUUAAAUUUUGUGUAUUUAAAGAUAAGUGUAAAGAUAAGUGUGCUGAGCUAAGUGCUUAGGAAGCAGAGAGAGAGUGGAUUAACGAAUGGGGCCAAAGGAGAGUGUAUUUGCAACAAGAUUUUCAGCUUUUUACAUAUGUAAUAGUUUGAAUCCA